Molecule: long non-coding RNA, 2371 nt
Organism: Cynoglossus semilaevis (tongue sole)
Lineage: Eukaryota; Metazoa; Chordata; Actinopteri; Pleuronectiformes; Cynoglossidae
Exons: 3
Source: RefSeq, a predicted model, not a curated record
GUAACAAUAAGGAAGCGGUGCCAAUGAUGUCAUGUCCUGGUGACGAAGUAAUUCUUCAUUAAUCAUGUUGAAAGAUGGGCUGUUAGGGUUGAAGAUGUGAGAAGAAAUAAAGUGCAGCUGCCAGAAAGAGCUGAUGUAGCACAGUAUAUGCUGAUGACUUACAUUAAUACUUGGGUAUAGGUGCGUAAGUAGAUACUGUGUUUGAUUGGCCAUGAGCACUAACUGAUUAAAGACCACAUGUCUAAAUAAUUGACUAGAAACAUGGAGUUUUAGUAUCUUACAUGUCACUGACCAGCGUGUACUAAUGAGAUCAUUAAUGCUGAUUAUUUUUCCUGUCUUUCCUUCUGUGUGGCUGCAGGACUUGUAUGUGUUUGCAGUGUACUUCAUGCACAACCAGCUGUGUUGGCCAGCUAAAGCUAGUUACACAGUGGAGAUGAACGGCCAGGACUCUCCAGACUCUGCCUACCCUGGAGGGGGACCCACCACUGUGGGAGCCGAUAUCAACAAAUCCACUCAGAACCUCAUCAGUGCCAUGGAAGAGGUAUCAGCAGACUGGGAGCGAACAUCCUUGUGACUCAGCACAGCAGUGCGUUUAAACCCAGUCCUGUGUUAGGCACGUACAGCACGGAUCCUGGUUUUAUCAACACCAACCUGGUGACCACAGCCGAGGAGUCGCAGGAGUUUGAUGACCUCAUAUUUACCUUAAAGACUGGAAUGUGUCGACACAAAGUGGUGCUUUGGCCCAGAGGCAAUGUCUCUGUCAUUGGUGUGGAACCCCAGGGUUCACCUCCUGGGCAAAAUCGAAUCCCGAUUAGGGCGGUUAGUACCUUCCAGUGGACUCACCACCCGCAGGAAGGUUUAGGGGAGUGGGUACGGUUAAGCGGAUAAGCGGAUGAAAAUGGAUGGAUGGAUGGAUGGAUGGUGUCAACACAAAGAUGCUGAACUCCCUGCUCCGGCGUUGGGUGCGUGCACUCAUGUGCACAUCUCCAUUAUGUCACAGUGAUGAUCUGGCAGGUGAACGGGGGGCCUCAGCCCAAAUCACCCAUCCCUAUAAUGAGCUCAUGGGAACCUCUGGAUCAUAGCAGCUUCUGGGCAGCAGGAUUAUCUGGUGAGAGGAAACAGCUGAGGCCUGUCCAGAGUCAGCGCUUGCUAAUCAACGCUCCCACUGCACACACGUUUACCCUCACUUUUACGCUAACAUUUAUGUUCUUCGUUCAUAAUCACCCUCCCGCUCUUUUCUUUCAAGCGACAGGGGUCAGACUCCCACAAAGGCCCUGUGCCCACAAAAGUCAAAGGGGGCCACGGUGAGGGUAUGGGAGGAGGAAAAGGGGACAAAAGCAAACUGAAGUGCUUGGUCAAAGCUGACAGGACUGCUGAGUCAUCACUACUGUUGGUUCUCCAGUUAAAAUCCCAGAGAUGUUCGCGAUCCAGAAUCAACUUGUCCAUUUUAGUCCAAGGCUUUGUUCCUUUGAAGGUCCCUGCUGUCACUACAGGUCAAUGCAUCACACAAGACUCAGCGAAAGUCAGGCAACUGUUGACUGUGGUUAUGCAACAGCAGCAACUUUCAAACUCUGUACAGAUGUCAUGCAUUUCCUGCCUGACCUGUGAGGCACUGGGUACAACAUAUCCAUUCACAUCCGGCUUAAUUGAAUUAGUUGAGCUAUAUUUAUCCAUGUACUUCAGUUGUGUUGGCCCAAAUCAAUCAGUACUUCGUAAAGCAUGCUGACAUAGUGGGCAGCUCAAUACACUACAAUCAGCAUUGAUGAACUGCCUACAGAGGAGACUCUUGGCCAUUAAAAAUAGGUCAUAUUUAAUUUAACCAUAGGGAGAGAACCAUAAGUAAUAAAAAAUAUAUACUUCAGCUAAGAUCAUGGUAAGAUUUAGUCAGAAUUAGUUUAUGCAUCUUUAAUUUGUAAUAAAAUGUAUUAGGUAACAUAAAUGUACUGGUCUAAAUGCUUUAUGAUUACUUUAAAUCAAACAACUGUAAAAGUUACUCCUGACAUUUAAAUUAUUCCAUUAUUUUAUAUUUUGUAUCCAACUCAAAAUGCUUUCAAAAUGAAUUUGGCCCACAGAUGGUCUGAGACACUUCCAAAUAGAAAAAACACAGUUGUUUGCUGACACAUAUGGCAUUUUGGUUGUAUUAGCUGUAGCAGCGUAGCUCACAGCUGUCAAUCAUUGUCAAGAUCAAUUAGUCUCCUAGAAAUUCAACACAUGAGUAUUUUUGAAGUUACAGGUGAAAGAUUCUUGUUAUAUUUCUGUUAUAUAAGAGGGAUUGUGGAUAAAAUAUAUUCAUGUGUUCAUAGUUUAUAGAAGUAUGCAACAUAUAUAAUCAUGUUUUAAAAAGAUCAUAAGAGAUGUGCUAAAACAUAUA